GCUCUAUUGUACCAGCUCCAGUGGCUCAGAAGCCGGCUCCUUUUGAAGGGGCUGCUAUCGGGCCUCUGCACGCGUGCCACCCUAGCCCUGCACCGGCAAGAUAGGCUGGCCACAGCGGUGGAGGGAGAGAUUGGUUUGUGUGUCACCCACAGCAUAUGCUGGAUUCAGCUCCUGAACUUCUGAAAUGAAGGACUGAAAGUGGCCCCGUCUCUGGAAGGCAUGUCUUCGUCUUGUGCUUUAUCUCAUCGUUAGUGACAGGAAGAGUGGAAGGAAGAAGCAAAAUGAGAAAACUUCUUUGUUGGAAUAACAAGGAGAAAAACAUGGAAGACAACACAACUGGUGUGUGCUGAGCCAAGUGGCUGCCGCCCACCAUAUAGGGUGGUGCCCUCAGGGAGCGGAUGUGGAGCCCAGGGACCAGGACAUCCCAGCAGAUGUCUUCUAGGCCCAGGAGCUAGGAGAGCUACAGCAGGGGUUCUGCACUCUGAUGCUAAAAGAGGGUUACAGCUGCUUCAUUAGAUUCUUGGGUUUGACUGGCCUUGCAAGUAGAUUGUUAGGCAUCAUGAAGUUCGUUUUUUCAAAUUGACUAUGAAUAGGAAGUGAUUGCUAAUGGUAUUUAGCUUUUAUCAGGAAAAACUAUGCAAAAACAAAAACAAAAGCAGCACACUCCCCCAGCAGCCCCUUGUCUCUUGGGGGCCCUUUGCCAACUGUACUUCACCUGUCUUUGGUUGGCUCCUCAGCCAUCCCCUUCCAUCACCUUGAAUAAAAUAUUAUGCACAAAA
This is a long non-coding RNA of Cavia porcellus (domestic guinea pig), 779 nucleotides long. RefSeq lists it as uncharacterized. NCBI's taxonomy places the organism in Eukaryota, Metazoa, Chordata, Mammalia, Rodentia, Caviidae. The record is from RefSeq and is a predicted model, not a curated record. The transcript has 2 exons.